GGGUUCAAUAAGCGUUGGUCAAUCUCGAUCAACGUCGACUUGUUCGCAUUCGCAAUGCGAAGGUCGGGAGUUCGAUCCUCCUCCUCCCACCA
Molecule: transfer RNA, 92 nt
Filed under: Paraburkholderia graminis
Lineage: Bacteria; Pseudomonadati; Pseudomonadota; Betaproteobacteria; Burkholderiales; Burkholderiaceae
Description: tRNA-Ala
Source: RNAcentral